RNAcentral lists this ribosomal RNA (802 nucleotides) under uncultured archaeon. Its description in RNAcentral is "bacterial SSU rRNA". It matches the Rfam family "Archaeal small subunit ribosomal RNA", at positions 68 to 859 of the family's 1478-position model. The record is from RNAcentral.
UAAAUUUCCCAUGGCAAACUGCUCAGUAACACAUGAUCAACUUACCCUAUAGAGAAAAAUAACNUCGGGAAACUGAGGAUAAUAUUUCAUAGUUGAAUAGGCUUGGAAAAGUUCUUCAAUAAAAGGGAUAAAAAAAAUGGUUUUUAUCUGCUAUAGGAUAGGAUCGUGGACGAUUAUGGUUGUUGGCGAGGUAACGGCUCACCAAGCCGAUAAUCGAUAGGGGCCGUGAGAGCGGGAGCCCCGAGAUGGGUACUGAGACAACGACCCAGGCCUUACGAGGCGCAGCAGGCGCGGAACCUCCGCAAUACACGAAAGUGUGACGGGGUUACCCAAAGUGUUCAAUUCUGAACUGUGGUAGGUGAGUAAUGUUCCCUACUAGAAAGGAGAGGGCAAGGCUGGUGCCAGCCGCCGCGGUAAAACCAGCUCUUCAAGUGGUCGGGAUAAUUAUUGGGCUUAAAGUGUCCGUAGCCGGUUUAGUAAGUUCCUGGUAAAAUCGGGUAGCUUAACUAUCUGUAUGCUAGGAAUACUGCUAUACUAGAGGGCGGGAGAGGUCUGAGGUACUACAGGGGUAGGGGUGAAAUCUUAUAAUCCUUGUAGGACCACCAGUGGCGAAGGCGUCAGACUGGAACGCGCCUGACGGUGAGGGACGAAAGCCAGGGGAGCGAACCGGAUUAGAUACCCGGGUAGUCCUGGCCGUAAACGAUGCAUACUAGGUGAUGGUACGGCCAUGAGCCGUAUCAGUGCCGUAGGGAAACCGUUAAGUGUGCCGCCUGGGAAGUACGGUCGCAAGGCUAAAACUUAA